GAGAGGAACUUGUUCCUCGAGUCGUUGAUUUCACACUGCCGAGAAAAGCCUCUAGCUAGAAUAACGGUGCCCGUACCGCAAACCGACACAGGUAGUCAAGAUGAGAAUUCUAAGGUGAGCGAGCGAACUCUCGUUAAGGAACUCGGCAAAAUGACCCCGUAACUUCGGGAGAAGGGGUGCUCUUUGAGGUUCACGCUUCGAAGAGCCGCAGUGAAUAGGCCCAAGCGACUGUUUAUCAAAAACACAGGUCUCUGCUAAACCGUAAGGUGACGUAUAGGGGCUGACGCCUGCCCGGUGCUGGAA
Molecule: ribosomal RNA, 303 nt
Filed under: Staphylococcus pseudintermedius
Lineage: Bacteria; Bacillati; Bacillota; Bacilli; Caryophanales; Staphylococcaceae
Description: partial 23S ribosomal RNA
Rfam family: Bacterial large subunit ribosomal RNA
Source: RNAcentral